GGGGGGGGGGGGGGGGGGGGCGGGGGGGUGCGAGUCUUUGGCGGGUGUGUGGGUGCGCGGGCUAGCCGGGGCGGACGGGUGAGUAACGCGUAGAGAACUGGCCCUGCAGACAGGGAUAACAGACGGAAACGGCUGAUGACACCUGCUACAGUUGCCGGCACGCAUGUGCCUGGCACUGCAAAGAGAUGCUGCAGGAGAGCUUUGCGUCCUAUUAGCUUGUUGGUGAGGUGACGGCUCACCAAGGCGAUGAUAGGUAGCCGGCCUGAGAGGGUGAACGGCCACAAGGGGACUGAGAUACGGCCCUUACUCCUACGGGAGGCAGCAGUGGGGAAUAUUGGACAAUGGGGGCAACCCUGAUCCAGCAAUUCUGUGUGCACGAAGAAGGUUUUCGGAUUGUAAAGUGCUUUCAGCAGGGAAGAAGAAAGUGACGGUACCUGCAGAAGAAGCGACGGCUAAAUACGUG
Molecule: ribosomal RNA, 463 nt
Filed under: uncultured bacterium
Lineage: Bacteria
Description: partial 16S ribosomal RNA
Rfam family: Bacterial small subunit ribosomal RNA
Source: RNAcentral